UAGCCAAGAUAGAUCUGAUG
Molecule: non-coding RNA, 20 nt
Filed under: Arabidopsis thaliana (thale cress)
Lineage: Eukaryota; Viridiplantae; Streptophyta; Magnoliopsida; Brassicales; Brassicaceae
Source: RNAcentral